AACAGGAUUAGAUACCCUGGUAGUCCACGCCCUAAACGAUGUCAACUGGUUGUUGGGAGGGUUUCUUCUCAGUAACGUAGCUAACGCGUGAAGUUGACCGCCUGGGGAGUACGGCCGCAAGGUUGAAGCUCAAAGGAAUUGACGGGGACCCGCACAAGCGGUGGAUGAUGUGGUUUAAUUCGAUGCAACGCGAAAAACCUUACCUACCCUUGACAUGCCAGGAAUCUUGCAGAGAUGUGAGAGUGCUCGAAAGAGAACCUGGACACAGGUGCUGCAUGGCCGUCGUCAGCUCGUGUCGUGAGAUGUUGGGUUAAGUCCCGCAACGAGCGCAACCCUUGUCAUUAGUUGCUACGAAAGGGCACUCUAAUGAGACUGCCGGUGACAAACCGGAGGAAGGUGGGGAUGACGUCAGGUCAUCAUGGCCCUUAUGGGUAGGGCUACACACGUCAUACAAUGGCCGGGACAGAGGGCUGCCAACCCGCGAGGGGGAGCUAAUCCCAGAAACCCGGUCGUAGUCCGGAUCGCAGUCUGCAACUCGACUGCGUGAAGUCGGAAUCGCUAGUAAUCGCGGAUCAGCUUGCCGCGGUGAAUACGUUCCCGGGUCUUGUACACACCGCCCGUCACACCAUGGGAGCGGGUUCUGCCAGAAGUAGUUAGCCUAACCGCAAGGAGGGCGAUUACCACGGCAGGGUUCGUGACUGGGGUGAAGUCGUAACAAGGUAACC
Molecule: ribosomal RNA, 725 nt
Filed under: uncultured bacterium
Lineage: Bacteria
Description: bacterial SSU rRNA
Rfam family: Bacterial small subunit ribosomal RNA
Source: RNAcentral